Eurytemora carolleeae is the source of this 295-nucleotide long non-coding RNA. RefSeq lists it as uncharacterized. The record is from RefSeq and is a predicted model, not a curated record. Lineage: Eukaryota; Metazoa; Arthropoda; Copepoda; Calanoida; Temoridae. The transcript is spliced from 4 exons.
UUAGCAGUGAGGGUCGAACAACAAUCAGGAGAGGAACCUCCAGUGGGACCUCAGCAGACUCAGCCUCAGGGACCUGAGCAGCCUCAGCCUCAGGAACCUCAGCAACCUCAGGGACCUGAGCAGCCUCAGCCUCAGGGACCCCAGCAGCCUCAGCCUCAGGGAUCCCAGCAGCCAUAACUGCAACCUCAAGUGGGACCUCAGCAGCCUCAGCCUCAAGGACCCCAGCAGCCAGGAUUGCAACCUCAAGUUGGUCAGCAGCAGCAACCUGGUGGACCUGGUGGACCUGGUGGUUGGC